Molecule: ribosomal RNA, 425 nt
Filed under: uncultured bacterium
Lineage: Bacteria
Description: bacterial SSU rRNA
Rfam family: Bacterial small subunit ribosomal RNA
Source: RNAcentral
GAAUAUUGGACAAUGGGGGGAACCCUGAUCCAGCCAUGCCGCGUGUGUGAAGAAGGCCUUUUGGUUGUAAAGCACUUUAAGCGAGGAGGAGGCUACUCUGGUUAAUACCUAGGGAUGGUGGAGGUUACUCGCAGAAUAGGCACCGGCUAACUCGGUGCCACAAGCCGCGGUAAGACAGAGGGUGCAAGCGUUAAUCGGAUUUACUGGGCGUAAAGCGCGCGUAGGUGGCCAAUUAAGUCAAAUGUGAAAUCCCCGAGCUUAACUUGGGAAUUGCAUUCGAUACUGGUUGGCUAGAGUAUGGGAGAGGAUGGUAGAAUUCCAGGUGUAGCGGUGAAAUGCGUAGAGAUCUGGAGGAAUACCGAUGGCGAAGGCAGCCAUCUGGCCUAAUACUGACACUGAGGUGCGAAAGCAUGGGGAGCAAACAG